CCAUUUUCUUUGUCAAAUGGUUGUUAUUUAUAAGAAGAGGUUGCAGACAAAACAAAGUGAUAAAAUAGACCCCAGGAGUGGCUAAUAUAAAAUAGAGUUGGGAGAGCAAUAGGUUACCAAGGAAUUGGGUUUGGAAGAAUCCAUUAAAGAAAUAAUGUCAUGAGACCAGAGUAAGCCAUUAAUUGCCAGGUUAGAUCCAUAGAGGAGUUUAGAAGACUAGCCAGAGUUAGCUAUAGUAAGGAGAAGAAUGCUGUUAAAGGAAAGAUACCAUGAGGGAGAGUACCUCCCUUAUAGCGGGUUUAAUCCAGAAAAGAACUUAGCAAAGAUCUUCACCAUGAAAAGCUCUUUUAUGGAGGAAAUAGAACUUUGGGGAUUUUUCAGGGGAGGAUCAGGAAAGAAAUUGGUGGCUCGAUGGGAGGGAUCAAGGAGGAGCCAGAUGAAAUGUGCCUGGCCAGCCAGGUCCCAGACCUAUCUAAAGAUAUGCCAAUAUUUCAAAGAUUGUUUAAAGUGUCCUGAGGUUUGAAGGGAUAAGACACACUAUCAUUUUAUACAAACAUGAUAGUCUGGGAUUUGGUUUUGCCUGUUGAUAGCAACUUGGGUUUCUUCCUGAUUAGGGAAGAGAGUAAGUUGAAAGUUCACAUCACUAUUACUGCCUCCUAAAAUUCUUUAGCCUUAACUGUCUCCCCUGCCUCUACACUGUCCAGACUCCUGGCACUAUUUCUCUUCUUGAUGUGGUUUUCAUUGCAGAGAGAUAACUCAUAUUACAAAUAAUAUUUUUAAAUGGGAAAAAAUAGAAAAAGGAAGAAAAAAUAAGCAAAAAGAAAGAUCAAUAUAUCAAAAAAGUCUCAAAAUAUGUGCAAUAUACCACACCUAUGAAUAUCCCACCUCUGUAAAGGAGUGAGGUUGGGAGUAUUUUCUCAUUUCUGAACUUUGGACCAUGAUUUUUUUUGGUAAAUUUUUAAUUUUUCCUUUUGGUUAUUUUGUAUUCUUUUAAAACUUGGUCACAUUAAUUCUGUUUAAUUUCAUUUACAUUAUUGUAGGCAUUAUUUAAUGUUUAUUUCAUUUUUCAAUAAUUCAUGUAGCUCCUUCCAAGCUUCUCUGUAUUCAUUGGAUUCCUAAUUUACAGCAUGGUAAUAUUCCAUUACAUUACUUAUGUAUCAAAAUUUGUUAAACUAUUCCCUAAUCAGUGGAUAUUGUUUCUAAUUCUUUUCUACCACAGAAAGUUUAAUCUAUUAUUAUUACUACUCCUACCUUAUCCUCCUCAGACCUAUUCUUUUUGUCACUUUAACUUACAGAACAUGCAUCAAUAGAAAUCAGAAAUUGUAUAGGGUUUUUCCAAGACAAAUUUACUAAAAAGUUUUGCAUUAUGAGGUCUGUAGAGAGGUUAUUGAGUGAUCCUGGGCAAUCCCUUUCCAGUACAUAUAAACUAUGUGGCACUUGCCACCCCUAUAAUUUCUGUCUCUGAAACAUCAGAUAUACAGGGAUAUACACCAACUUUUAGGCUUCCAAUUUUUUUCACUGAAAAAAAUACAUCCCAAAGUGUUGGGAUGACUUGUAUAUAUGCUUCUCUGAUGGACCACAGAGACUGUAGCUCUUCGAUAUUUUCAGGAGCUCUUUCCUGAAAGGUUAUUACGCCAGAACAUAAGACCCAGUGUUUGGGUUCACUAUUGUCAUGAUACAUCUGGGAUAUGACAAAACCUUAUUAAUUUCCAUAUUUCCAAUUAGGAUUUUAUCCCAUGUAUCCUUCUCAUAAGCAAGGAAGUAGAUAAUUCAAGCUAUAGACCUGUAACUUCCUCAUUUUCCUGAAGAGAACAGCUUAUUAAAGGGAUGACUUGUAAUCACUUAUAAAAGGAAGUAACAAUCGUUGUUAGCAUGACUAUGUGAAAAACACAUGACAAUUAUUAGCUAAUAGAUCAGAGGAAUAUAGUAGAGGAACUACUGUGGACAUCAAGAUUUCAGCUAGCAUUGAAUACCAACGAUUGAGUGAAUAUUGAUUGAAUACCCUCAUCAACAAAAUGGAGAGAUGAUAUUACGAGCAAAGAAUUCAUUAUUAAUGAAAAGACUGAGAUUGUGAUCCAUGCCACAGGUCCAUGUACUUGAUAAUACUCUGGCCAAAUUUUUGUCAUUAAUUUGUAGUGAGCCCUGAGAUCUUUUUAAUGGUAGAAUCUGAGUACCUUCACUUAUUUUUUCACUUUUUUACUCAACUUAAAAUUUUUUUAUCACAGCUGAUAAUAUAAUUACUCUUCACUUAAGGAAAGAAAAUAAGCCAAAAGAAAUAAACUUGUUAUAUAGCAAGACAGUAAUAAUAACAUUUAUAUAGGCUUUAAGAUUUUCAAAGUACUUUACAUUUUAUAAUCUUAUUUGAGACUCACACCAAAGCCCUAUGAGAUAGGCACUAUUAUCAUUUUUCAAGUGAGGAAACAAUGAGAAUGGUGAAGUACAUUGUUCAGGAUGACAUAUCUUUUAAAUAUAUGAAGCAAGAGUCAAACCCAGUACAAUUCUUUUCUGAUGCUCUUCUUCUUUACCCACUGUUACUCUGUUGAUAAAUUAGUAUAGGAUUCUUAAGUACAAAUUCUUAAUUUGUUUUUGCAGUAUAAUACCUAACUGAAGGCUGAAAUAUGUGGAAGAAGUUUGGGGCAUUGUUUGACACAUUAGAGAUAUAAACUUGAUGAGAAGUAAUUUAGGGUAACAGAUUUUUCGUGUUUGACAAAGUUGUAUUUACUUAAUAUAUAUUGCAUAAUAUUUCUUUAGACAUAUUUUCCAAGAAUCAAUUUUUCUACCUCUAAGCAACUAGCUGAUACAAUGCAUAGAGUUCUGGGACUUGGAAUCAGGAAGACCUGAGUUCACUUAUGACACUCAGAUACUGUGUGAUCUCGGACAAGUUAUUUAACUACUGCCCAUAUCAAUUUUCCUUAAAUGUAAAAUGGGGAUAAUGGCAUAUAUCUCCUUUGGUUGUUGUGAAGAUUAAAUAAGAUAAUAUUUGUAAGUGGUUAAUAUAUUCCUGGAUAAAGAGUAGGAGCUUCUUAUUCCCAUGGCCACAUAUGAGGUCCUGAGGAUGAGUUUGGCAGAUAAAGAAUGAAAUUAUUGUCCUGAGGCAGUCAAGGAGAGGCACUGAUGGGGAUAAGUUUAGAUUUGUAGUCCCACCCUUUGUGGAAGUUGUGGGCAACCCCACCUUGCUAUGACCAAUCAGAAAUCCGAGUUAUGUUGAGCACCUGGGGUUAAAUUUCCCCUAUAAAUCUGUCCAUAACUCAUGCCAUCUUUGUGGAAUCUCUCUUGGGGUAAUAGCCUAUCAGCACUCUGCCUCAUGGUGUCUUUCCCAUCAUCUCUCCUGUCAUGCC
Long non-coding RNA from Sarcophilus harrisii (Tasmanian devil), 3338 nucleotides. The record is from Ensembl. NCBI's taxonomy places the organism in Eukaryota, Metazoa, Chordata, Mammalia, Dasyuromorphia, Dasyuridae.